Molecule: ribosomal RNA, 593 nt
Filed under: uncultured bacterium
Lineage: Bacteria
Description: bacterial SSU rRNA
Rfam family: Bacterial small subunit ribosomal RNA
Source: RNAcentral
GUAGUGAAGAAGGCCUUCGGGUUGUAAAGCUCUUUCGCAAGGGAAGAAACGAUACAGUCUAAUAAACUGUGUUAAUGACGGUACCUUGAUAAGAAGCACCGGCUAACUACGUGCCAGCAGCCGCGGUAAUACGUAGGGUGCGAGCGUUAAUCGGAAUUACUGGGCGUAAAGCGUGCGCAGGCGGUUUUGAAAGUCAGAUGUGAAAUCCCCGGGCUCAACCUGGGAACUGCGUUUGAAACUCCAAAGCUAGAGUAUGGGAGAGGGGGGUAGAAUUCCACGUGUAGCAGUGAAAUGCGUAGAGAUGUGGAGGAAUACCAAUGGCGAAGGCAGCCCCCUGGCUUAAUACUGACGCUCAUGCACGAAAGCGUGGGGAGCAAACAGGAUUAGAUACCCUGGUAGUCCACGCCCUAAACGAUGUCUACUAGUUGUUGGGAGAGUAAAAUCUCUUAGUAACGCAGCUAACGCGUGAAGUAGACCGACUGGGGAGUACGGUCGCAAGAUUAAAACUCAAAGGAAUUGACGGGGAGCCGAACAAGCGGUGGAUUAUGUGGAUUAAUUCGAUGCCACGAGAAGAAACUUAACUGGCCUUGACA